RNAcentral lists this small RNA (1475 nucleotides) under Cryptococcus neoformans H99. RNAcentral's name for it is "Cryptococcus neoformans var. grubii H99 hypothetical RNA". The record is from RNAcentral. Lineage: Eukaryota; Fungi; Basidiomycota; Tremellomycetes; Tremellales; Cryptococcaceae.
UUCCACCCUCACGCGCUCUUCCACCCCUGCCUCGGGGCCAGAAAGAAUCCCGGAUGGAAGACGGCCGUUGCCAACAACGCCAUAAUCAUGGGGAUGCCGUCCAGCGUGUCUUGAUACGCCUCUGCCGGACCCGUCAGCCUGGAUAAAUCGUUCCUACCGAAUUGCCCACCGUGGGUGAUAAGAUAUCCGUCCCAUCCUUGGAUCAGCUCCACAGAUCGAUAAAUGCCUUGUCGAGAAAUCCCGUCAGCCCUACUAAUCUCAUAUAUGAAACAUGAAAGGACUCCACCUCGCACUAUAAUCAUGAUGCUGCAAAUCCCCGUUCCCACCAUCACCCACCGCCACCGCCUCACCUCCUUUUCGCCCCUCGUCACCCUCGCCACCGCAUAACCGCCGUACAUCCCUUCCUUCCCCGUCGCCUGCUCGGGCGUACUUGGAAGCAUCUCUACCUCGUCUCCUUCCCUUCCUCUGUAGGCCCUUCUACUCAACGCUCGUUGCAUGAAAUCGACUCCAAGACCAGCAAAGGCAAUCAUACUGACUAGUUGGAAGAUGAUACCUCCAACCAUGAUAUUAGUCGGCAUUUUAGGGGUUGGCGGGUCCACGGAAGCUGCCCAUCCUCCGCCAACAGCUUGGAGGAUAAGAGAAAUGAAGUCGCAGGUGACGAAUAUAAUAAUAUACCAUUUCGGGCGGAGGAAAGAGUACUGCUGACCUAGGGUAUUGAUACUCAUUCCUAAAAUGGUGUAGCACCAGGCUACGCUCCAGACUUACUUUAACUAAUCAUAUUUAUCAGAACAGGGGAAGAAGAUCUUACCGCUGAAGAAAACUGGAGCGAUGAUCAGACUAGAAAACGCGUCAGUUUGCAAAUCAGCCAGCGGGCCACAUAUCAAAACCUACGUGAUGAUCUGCAUCAAGAACGGCGGGUUAUACAUCACAUUCUGAUUCGACCAGUAUCUCCCUACCCAUCCUAUAAUUUCCACUACAUCAACGAUAAGAAGGAAAAAAAAAAAAACACAGUCGCUCAGCUUCUAUUCUUUCCCCUUCUUCAUUGGCACGGAAGAUGGAGUUGAACCUCAACAAACUUACAAAGACAUCCGAAAAUGAGCGUCGGGAAUGCAAUCCAGUACUUGAACUUGACUCCUAAUACCGUAUGCAAACAUCCUAGCGCCACGAAGAGGAUGAUAAAAGUAACACAAACCCAACCGGUGGGGGUAUAACCAUAUGGCGAGAAGUUGAGAUAAUCGCCUCCGGACAUGAUUUCUUAAGGGGGGAGUUGGGGUUCUUGUCGGUGAUGAGGUUGUUACUGCUACAAGCUAUGAAAUCACAGUCAAUGGAUAAUGGAGAAAAACCGACUGGUUCUAUCGUAGAGAACGAAUGUGUGAAGGUGAACUUUCGGGGAAGAGUUGUUGUAAGAGCGAGUGGAAGAAGUGACGUGCAAGAAGGAGAGUGUUUUUUUUUUGCACGAGACCGUCUGAGAAUGC